AUGAACAAUCGUAGUAGUGUAAAUGAAAGUAAUUUGGUGAGUUUCGCGACUGAUUUGCCUACUCUUAAUCAAUUGGACACAAAAGACUCGUUGUUAAGCUUCCCAUUCGACCAUAUAUACGCUUGCCAUUCUGAUAGUUCGGAUCGGAGGCAAACGCUUCAGCUCGACAAGGAGGUUGAGAUAUCUACUCAUUGUGUCGUUGAAGAAGAAAAGGAUUUGUUAGUGAGCCCCAGUCCUGAAGUGAACCAGCUUUCAACCAAACUCACCGCUGCUGAAAGCCAAAAUAAGAAGUUGAAGGAACUACUUAUCUACCACCUGGAUUUGAUUCAGCAGCAGAAUGAUUUAAUGACAAAGAGAGAGAAGGUGUAUCAAGCAUUGAAACAAGAGAAUGAUACACUUAAAACUAAACUGAAUCGUAUGGACAAAAAAGCUCCAGCGAAUCAAAGACAAAGUGUCAAUCCUCCACCAUUAGUGAAUGUUGUUCCCACAACAGCUACAUCAACGGUUGUAAAAACCGAACCAUCCCCAUCUUCACAGAUUAUGUUUAAUAGUUUUACUGAGCUAUUAUUGCCAGACAGCCAAACAAACUCGUACAUCUUUAACAGUGAUAUCAAUAAAUCAAAAGCAUUUACCAACAAUUCUGUUGACAUAACAAGGAGCUCAGAAUCGGAUGUAACUAGCUUUCUGCCUACUGAUUGGGCUGUGCCGUCUAUGUCAAUAUUGGAUAGCAAUUUGAAUUGCGACAAUUUCACCAUGAUUGAGAACAAGCGUUCCUAUGUUAAAAAAGAGAGCGCGAAACCGGAGCCCCGUCCGGAGCCGCUCUAUACUGUGACAUCCAACAGCGGCAACCCCGUUAUCCAGAAGAUACAAAGAAACCGAAGGCGGACCUCAGGCAUUGGAAGCCUAAGCCGCAUGUCGCGCAAUACCACACCCAAAGUAGAAAUGCCAGACACAAGUAAAAUGUUUGAAGACGAAAAAAGUUUUGAUCGCAAUUAUAGCGUUAAUAAGAAAAAUAAAGUAAAUACAUAUGGAAAAUCAAGAUCAACCAUUCCAAAAAAAACGACUCAGUUCACAGGAUCAUUAUCAGAUAGACUACAAUUGAUUGAUACUACGCCUACGGGGGAAGAUCCGUACCAGCUUGGUGAGGCUGACAUGAGAGAACAAUCGCCAAUCCCAAAACUUAUGUUACAAAAAUCACAUCAUGGGAGAAUGAAACUGUCCAGUGAUAAUCCAUCUACGGCUACGAGUACACGUCGCAUUUAUGACCCGGCAAUACCAGAAACAACAACUAAGCCGCUGAUCAAACCAAAGGUCGAAAGAUAUAGUUUAUCUAGCACCUUUGUACCUGAGCCAAAAAAAGAGUUACCAAAGACUCUUAUGGAAGGAGAGCCGGAUAUGGAUUUAGUGAAAAGUGAGCCAGAUCUAGAUUGGCAAAUGUUUAGUACCAGUAAAACUGGUAAUGAGACAAGCUUAUGUGAUUUUUCUUAUGGCGAAAACUCCAGCAACUUAGCCACAAGUAUUCUCCCUGGGUUGGAUUCGGUAGAAUUCCAAGAUUUAUUUAAUGCCGAUUCUCCAUUGAAUUUGGACACCUUGAAUCCGGUGGAUUUUACUCCAAUAACGGAAAACAAUAACCCUGAUAAAUCGAAACAGCGAGGUGCACGAACCACAAGCUUAUUAAGUCCAGAAGCACCUGGUGGAUCUGGCCUUAGUGCCAUUCCAGAUUUUGCUUCACCUGAGGCAGUGGAUUUCAAACGUGGUACUGAAAGCAAACGUGGCAGGAAACGUGCAAUGUCCGCCACAGGAGUUACUAAGGCGAAACGUGACCCUACGCCAAAGCAGGCUGCACCUAAACCAAAGCCAGUUAAAGGAAAAGCUGUUUCCCGAGGCAAAAAGCCAGCUGUACCCGGCAUGAUGACCUCAAAGCCAUAUCACACGUUGAUGGGCGAUCCUGAUCUAUCCUGGUACUUGGGACUGGACCCAGACAUUAAGUUUGAAGAUAUUGACCCUACUGAAGACCCCAAGGCUUCUACUGUCGAAAUGGAGGGAGAAGCCGUACACGAGUUGCUACACUCUUGAGGGCACGGAGAAUCUAGACGACAAAGUUUUCGAAAAGAGGCACCAAAAGCUCGAAGCGGAGGAACGGAGACAGCUCAGGUGGCACAUGCGUCGAGUACGGGAGCAGAGACAUGUGGAGAGACUUCGGCUGAGACAGAGGGACUCUUGGUGCGGCGGGAGUGCCUCCCCAGCAUACCAACAGCCUUCGAUCUAUACGAUAUGGCCGCAGCCUCAGAGGGAUGCCCGUUUUAUCGAGAUUACGGAUUCCCUCCCUGUGAUGGCUUUUGGGGAGAUUCUACCUGCUCUACCGGAGACAGAUUUCAUGCUGCCAUGGGUGAGGACCUCGAAAGCUUUGAAGAGAGCAAAGAGAUCUAAGACGCUUCAUUGAAGCUUUCAACGUAAAACGAGGGUAAUGCAUCACAUAACAUGGAAGUGUGGAUAUUCGAUUUUGACAGUAUAAACUUGUCACAAUAAUUAU
RNAcentral lists this unclassified non-coding RNA (2533 nucleotides) under Manduca sexta (tobacco hornworm). RNAcentral describes it as "uncharacterized LOC115444927, transcript variant X1". The record is from RNAcentral. Lineage: Eukaryota; Metazoa; Arthropoda; Insecta; Lepidoptera; Sphingidae.